GCGACCAUGGUUUAGCGGUAGAACGCUAGCUUCCCAAGCUUGAAGUGAGGGUCCGACUCCCUCUGGUCGCU
Molecule: transfer RNA, 71 nt
Filed under: candidate division TM6 bacterium GW2011_GWF2_28_16
Lineage: Bacteria
Also listed under: 2 other names
Description: tRNA-Gly
Rfam family: tRNA
About the family: Transfer RNA (tRNA) molecules are approximately 80 nucleotides in length.
Source: RNAcentral